UGAACGCUGGCGGCAUGCCUUACACAUGCAAGUCGAACGGCAGCACGGGAGCAAUCCUGGUGGCGAGUGGCGAACGGGUGAGUAAUAUAUCGGAACGUGCCCAGUCGUGGGGGAUAACGCAGCGAAAGCUGUGCUAAUACCGCAUACGAUCUACGGAUGAAAGCGGGGGAUCGCAAGACCUCGCGCGAUUGGAGCGGCCGAUAUCAGAUUAGCUAGUUGGUGAGGUAAAGGCUCACCAAGGCGACGAUCUGUAGCUGGUCUGAGAGGACGACCAGCCACACUGGAACUGAGACACGGUCCAGACUCCUACGGGAGGCAGCAGUGGGGAAUUUUGGACAAUGGGCGCAAGCCUGAUCCAGCAAUGCCGCGUGCAGGAUGAAGGCCUUCGGGUUGUAAACUGCUUUUGUACGGAACGAAACGGCCCUUUCUAAUACAAGGGGCUAAUGACGGUACCGUAAGAAUAAGCACCGGCUAACUACGUGCCAGCAGCCGCGGUAAUACGUAGGGUGCGAGCGUUAUCGGAAUACUGGGCGUAAGCGUGCGCGGCGGUUAUUAAGACAGAUGUGAAUCCCGGGCUCACCUGGGACCUGCUUUGUGACUGUUAGCUAGAGUACGGUAGAGGGGAUGGAUUUCGCGUGUAGUAGUGAAUGCGUAGAUAUGCGGAGGACACCGAUGGCGAAGCAUCCCUGGGCUGUCUGACCUCCUGCCGAAACGUGGGAGCAACAG
RNAcentral lists this ribosomal RNA (726 nucleotides) under uncultured bacterium. RNAcentral's name for it is "bacterial SSU rRNA". It matches the Rfam family "Bacterial small subunit ribosomal RNA", at positions 30 to 775 of the family's 1533-position model. The record is from RNAcentral.